CUCCCCCCAAACACUUGGACGUAUGUCUUGCUCUGUUAUACUUUCGCAUACCUUUGCCCAUCCCUUAUGAAACUUGAGAAAAAACUGAGAUUCCUCAAAUUCCAUAAAUUUAGAUUUAAGUAUUUCUUUUGCAGUAUGCGCCAUGGCAUCCGUUGUUGAAAUCCCUACAUGAAAGCAGAGCUCACCUUCUGCUUGUCUCUCAGUACCAA
Molecule: unclassified non-coding RNA, 209 nt
Filed under: Hevea brasiliensis (rubber tree)
Lineage: Eukaryota; Viridiplantae; Streptophyta; Magnoliopsida; Malpighiales; Euphorbiaceae
Source: RNAcentral